AGACCCGAAACCCGGUGAUCUAGCCAUGGGCAGGUUGAAGGUUGGGUAACACUAACUGGAGGACCGAACCGACUAAUGUUGAAAAAUUAGCGGAUGACUUGUGGCUGGGGGUGAAAGGCCAAUCAAACCGGGAGAUAGCUGGUUCUCCCCGAAAGCUAUUUAGGUAGCGCCUCGUGAAUUCAUCUCCGGGGGUAGAGCACUGUUUCGGCAAGGGGGUCAUCCCGACUUACCAACCCGAUGCAAACUGCGAAUACCGGAGAAUGUUAUCACGGGAGACACACGGCGGGUGCUAACGUCCGUCGUGAAGAGGGAAACAACCCAGACCGCCAGCUAAGGUCCCAAAGUCAUGGUUAAGUGGGAAACGAUGUGGGAAGGCCCAGACAGCCAGGAUGUUGGCUUAGAAGCAGCCAUCAUUUAAAGAAAGCGUAAUAGCUCACUGGUCGAGUCGGCCUGCGCGGAAGAUGUAACGGGGCUAAACCAUGCACCGAA
This 489-nucleotide ribosomal RNA is filed under the name Escherichia coli. RNAcentral's name for it is "partial 23S ribosomal RNA". It matches the Rfam family "Bacterial large subunit ribosomal RNA", at positions 711 to 1198 of the family's 2925-position model. The record is from RNAcentral. Lineage: Bacteria; Pseudomonadati; Pseudomonadota; Gammaproteobacteria; Enterobacterales; Enterobacteriaceae.